GCGUGCAGACUGGAGCAGCCAGGGAUCAAACCUCCAACCUUCCAUAGCAACCAGGACCAUAAUGAACCCUGACUCCAACAGACACUCAGGAGCCACCUGCCCAAGCUGCAUGAACCUGUUGUUGAUGUCAGAGAGUCAAACUCUGCUGAAGAGUGGGUUGUUUCCUGUUCAGCCACUGGUCGACCUGCUCCCACUGUAACACUCUCACAACAAGACCUCAGCUUCUCACAGUACAACACUGUCAGUGUGUCCAACACCAACGCUACAUUCACUGUCACCACUACAGCUGUGCUCUCAGGUUCACGUAAACACAGCACACAGGUGGGAUGUGCAGCACGAGUGCUCUCUGCUCCUCACAGAGAGGUGAUGGAGACGAUUCCUGAGGUCCAGCAGACGUCAGAUUAUCAGUGAUGGUGAGAAACUGAGAUGCAAUAACAAUGCAUUGUGCUAGUAUGCAUUUUCUCUUUGAUCAAUAAUUGAUGUAUUCAUUUUGAUCAGUGUCACAUUUUUCCUGCUUUUUCAAGUUUCCUCCUGGAUCAUUGUAUUAGCUGCAGUAUUGGUGAUGAUGGUCUUUGUCAGUGUUGCUGCUCUGCAGUAGGCUACUCUUUAAAGAAAAAGACCAGAUAACUUUCAUUUUUCAUUUCUUGUCAUUUUUUUCUACACCAAAAUCUAUCCAAUAAUAUCUGCAUAACAUUUUCUACUUGUGAUUUAGUUAUUAAUUCUUUGCUUCAUGAUUCAAUCGGUCUUUGUCUAGUAUUAAAUUUUAUGUUUCCCAUUUAAUCCCACUGGCUUUAAAGUGUUUCACCAGAUUUUUACGAAGUAUUUCCAGUCUUUUGUUGUCUCUGUCCCAAAUGUUCUGAAAUGUGUUGCAUGUAUUAAAAGAAGUUGGACCAAAAAAUGUACUAUGUACUUACAAACUUACAUUUAUGAAAGCUGAACAAACAUUGAUGUACUUGACUUUUGUAACAGUGAAAAGGCGAUCUGUUUUUAUUGAUAAAUAUAUAUGUUUGCAUUACUGUUAUUUAGAUUGCCAUGUUAGAACGUAGCAAACAACAUUGUUUGUUCCUCUAUGGUUUCUUUAUUUUUACAAAUCUAAAUGUUUUUGGUCAAAAGAUUAAUAAUUUCAUAUUGAGGUCAGAUGGUCAGCAGUUUUGAUGUUUUUGCAGAGAUUUUAUUUUUUGCAAAAUAGCACAAGUAAACAUUAAAAGUCGUUCCUAAAUCAAGGCAUUUAUUAUUAAGGCGGCCAUUAUUAUGGCCCUGUGUGGAAAAAGUGAUUGCCCCCUAAACCUAAUAACUGGUUGGGCCACCCUGA
This is a non-coding RNA of Maylandia zebra (zebra mbuna), 1312 nucleotides long. Lineage: Eukaryota; Metazoa; Chordata; Actinopteri; Cichliformes; Cichlidae. The record is from RefSeq and is a predicted model, not a curated record.